This 84-nucleotide transfer RNA is filed under the name Deltaproteobacteria bacterium GWA2_50_8. Its description in RNAcentral is "tRNA-Leu". It matches the Rfam family "tRNA". From Rfam's summary of the family: Transfer RNA (tRNA) molecules are approximately 80 nucleotides in length. RNAcentral also lists the same sequence under 3 other names. Lineage: Bacteria; Deltaproteobacteria. The record is from RNAcentral.
GCCGCCUUGGCGGAACUGGUAGACGCGCCAGACUCAAAAUCUGGUAGGGGCAACCCUGUCCCGGUUCGAUUCCGGGAGGCGGCA